GAAUAUUGGACAAUGGGCGAAAGCCUGAUCCAGCCAUGCCGCGUGUGUGAAGAAGGUCUUCGGAUUGUAAAGCACUUUAAGCUGGGAGGAAGGGCAGUAAGUUAAUACCUUGCUGUUUUGACGUUACCAGCAGAAUAAGCACCGGCUAACUUCGUGCCAGCAGCCGCGGUAAUACGAAGGGUGCAAGCGUUAAGCGGAAUUACUGGGCGUAAAGCGCGCGUAGGUGGUUUGUUAAGUUGAAUGUGAAAGCCCCGGGCUCAACCUGGGAACUGCAUCCAAAACUGGCAAGCUAGAGUAUGGCAGAGGGUGGUGGAAUUUCCUGUAUAGCGGUGAAAUGCGUAGAUAUAGGAAGGAACACCAGUGGCGAAGGCGACCACCUGGGCUAAUACUGACACUGAGGUGCGAAAGCGUGGGGAGCAAACAGG
This 425-nucleotide ribosomal RNA is filed under the name uncultured bacterium. Its description in RNAcentral is "bacterial SSU rRNA". It matches the Rfam family "Bacterial small subunit ribosomal RNA", at positions 359 to 776 of the family's 1533-position model. The record is from RNAcentral.